This is a non-coding RNA of Cavia porcellus (domestic guinea pig), 299 nucleotides long. It matches the Rfam family "Metazoan signal recognition particle RNA". From Rfam's summary of the family: The signal recognition particle (SRP) is a universally conserved ribonucleoprotein. It is involved in the co-translational targeting of proteins to membranes. Lineage: Eukaryota; Metazoa; Chordata; Mammalia; Rodentia; Caviidae. The record is from Rfam.
GCCGGGCGUGGUGGUGCAUGCCUGUAGUCCCAGCUACUCGGGAGGCUGAGAUGGGAGGAUCGCUUGAGUCCAGGAGUUCUGGGCUGCAGUGCGCUAUGCCAUUGGGUGUCUACACUAAGUUCAGCAUCAAUAUGGUGAUCUCCCGGGCGCGGGGGACCACCAGGUUGCCUAAGGAGGGGUGAACCGGCCCAGGUCGGAAACGGAGCAGGUCAAAACUCCCGUGCUGAUCAGUAGUGGGAUCGUGCCUGUGAAUAGCCACUGCACUCCAGCCUGGGCAAUAUAGUGAGACCCUGUCUCUU